CCGCCGGAAAUCGUGGUAUCCAUAGAGACGCUGUCGGAAGUUGAGGUUGCUAGGAGGCCUUGGGCGCAUCGACUGACAUGUCUGAAGUCUCAGGAGAUUAUAAUUCUGACUCCGAUGAGAGUCUGAGUCUGCAGCCUAAAAGAACCAAAUCUGGUAAAUUACAUAAUGCUAACGCAGACACCUUGUUUGAGGUAAGCUCUAAGCUGUCCCCAAAUACUGACCGAGACCCAGGAAAUGUAGGAAAUGUGCCACUAGAGCCAACCAGGACACGCAAGGGGGAUUUGGUGCCCGUAGGUAAAAAUCAUGAGGUGCCAGACCUACAACGACAGGACGUUUCAGUAGGUGUGUUCAAAGGACCACCUACAAGAACAGGUACACAGCUACCAACAAAAAUAGAUCCAGAGCAGAAGACACCAGAUAUUCGAAGUGAAAAACUAAGAAAAUCAGUUGAAGAGGAAGCUCUACCUCCAUCCAAGAUGACCAAAUCGGAAAAGAAACAAAAAGAGUCAAUUAAAGAAAAAAGUACAGAGCCAUAUGAGGUAACUAAACCUAAGUUCCCAGACCGGAAGCUAAGGAAGUCUACUGAGGAAGCAGAUCUCAAACCUCACUUCAAGUCCACAGAGCAGUCAGGCACAGAGCAACCUGAGCAGACUAAGUUCCCAGACAAAAAACUAAGACAGUCAACUAAAAAGAAAGUCUCAGGGCCACUGGAGGAUUUUGAAGAAGAAUCAAGAAGACCCAUUGAUGAAGCAAGUCUAGAACUCUCACAAAAGAGACCAUUAAAGGCUUCAAAGAAAGCACAAAAAAGCUCUUUUGAUGAAAAAUUUCCAGAGAUGCUAGAACAGAUUACUGUAGAACUACUAGAUGACCAAGAGGAGACACAAGAAGAGUCCAUUAAGGAGAAAGUUCCAGAACCAUUAGGGGACCGGAAACCAUCAGCUCAAAAGCACAAGCUGAGAAAAUCAAGUGAAAGGUCUAAAUUAAAGGACACAUUAAUAGAGCCAAGUAAGGACAAGGACCCGGGGCUACAAACACAGACUGAAUUUCCAAAGGAGAAACUAAUAAAGACAACGGAGAAAACGGGUGACAAGCCACAGCAGAUAACUGAUCCAGACAUUCAAGAGAAGUCGCAGCCAGAACCAACCGAGAAAAAUCUAGAGUUACCAAAUAAACCCAAGCCAGAAGAGGAGAGAGACCUCCCCAAGGAAGACAAACCAGAAUCAAGCAAACCUAAUUAUCCUGCAGGCAAAGAUAAGCUAGCAUUACCAGCCAAGAUUAAAACUGAGUUUAUAGUAGGAUCUCCUAGAGAAAGCGUAGAGUCCUUCAGUACAUUGUACGAAACCCAGGAGUUCCUCAAAGACCUUCAGACUGACAUGAACGAACUGUUCCCAAUCGUUGAUGCUUCAGAGUCUCAGACAGAACUGAGGGAUUCUACAGUGUUACCCCAGGAGGUGGAGCUACUAGGACGUAAAGAAACCAAGCCAAGUCUUACCCCAGAGUUUGAGCAUCUUACCUGGAGCCCAGAAAGGGUUGCAGAGUGGAUUAGUGAUCUAGGCUUCCCUCAAUACAAGGAGUGUUUUACUGAAAACUUCAUCAAUGGUCAAAAACUCAUCCACGUAAACUGCUCCAACCUUCCUCAGAUGGGAAUAACUGAUUUUGAAGACAUGAAGAAGCUGGAUGUGACUCACACAAGCUGUCCCAUCACGCAAGAGGAUGCAGCACUUUAGAAUUUUGUUUCCUGCUGGGCAGUGGUGGCACACGCCUUUAAUCCCAGCACUUGGGAGGCAGAGGCAGGCGGAUUUAUGAGUUCGAGGCCAGCCUGGUCUACAGAGCAAUAUCGUACCACACCCGAGUGCUGCUGGGGAUCGAGGAGCCACUGUUCAGCCGCAGCAUCAGCCUUCCCUACAGAGACAACAAGGGCUUGUUCUUUGAGCAGAAAGGGCACAGUGGAGUAAAGUCUGAUUCCUUGACCUUGGCAAAAUUUGUUGAAGCAGCAGGAUUACAGGAGUAUAAUCCAGAGAUAAAAGCUGAGGAAAAGAAAGAAGACGCACUGCCAGAAAACAGCUUGGAAGAAAAUGAGGAACUCUAUGAGGCCACUUAAAGAUGGGGUGUGGCUUGACAGCAAUGCUGCUGAUCUGGGGUCACCCACACUUCUGUGUGUUGAACUGCCUGGGCCUGAUGACCCCUGGCCUACAUCAGAUAAGAGCAUGUCUUAGUCUGAUUGCAAUGAUUCUGAGAAUAAAAAUAAAGACAAAGCCUAGAGAGUCAA
Molecule: RNA transcript, 2269 nt
Organism: Mus musculus (house mouse)
Lineage: Eukaryota; Metazoa; Chordata; Mammalia; Rodentia; Muridae
Gene: Samd15
Gene name: sterile alpha motif domain containing 15
Exons: 5
Source: RefSeq, marked validated